CAAAAGAUAAAAAUGCACCAUGGAAAUUUACAAAGGGGCUUCAAAAGGUCUAGCAAGGCUCAGACCCUGCCCGUGGAGCUGGAGGCCUCCCCACCCUGGGGCUCACCCGCUGCUCCAGCUGCCCCAUUGUUUAGUCUGAGUUUCACAUGACUCGGCCCAUCCUGCCUGGAGAGAGAUGGAUCUCAUCCAUUCCCCAGAAGAAGCAGCAGGAGGUCAAGGCUUUGAGCCAACUGUUAUGUAAACAUUAAAGAGAAUUUUCUCUUCUUUUUUAAUGGAAGGAACUCCCCUUCAUGAUUUUAUCUUUUUGUCCUCCCUGGAGAGAGGCUGCUUAAUUGUUUUCAUUCCUUACCUAAAUAUUUUUAUCAUCAUAGCAACGGGAAUGAUUUAGGGGCCAAUGGGAUUUUAACUGGCCCAGUGCCACAAGUGGAACUAUAGGCAUUUUAAUGUUUGCAAUUUAGCAUGUCAGCACGAUGUUAUGAAAAGAGAGUGGCUCUGGAAUUGGACAGACUUGGACAAAACUCUCAUCUCAGACACUAACUAGCUCUGUGUGACCUAGGAAUAGUUACUUAACUUUUCCGUGCUCCAGGAUUCUUACCAGUAACAUGAUGGCCAAAAUAUUUGCAUUUUCAUGUUUUGAAUAGUAAUUUAAAUGAGGAUACAAGCUUGCCAAGAACUGUGAAGGGUCUGAGGUUUUGCCCUGCCUUGAAGUGAGCAAUUUGGCCUAUACCAGUUUCAUAGAUGCUGACAGAAGACGUGAGAUUCCUGGGUCAGAGACAAAGGCACUUACAGCCCAGCAAGCAGUAUGAUGACAUCAGCAUAUUUGAAUGACAUCUCCUCAUCUCCAAGUUACACGUGGGUGAUGUGGUUGAUCUCAGAAGAUGUUUAUCCAUAUGGUGGGUUGAGUUCCAGAAGAGAAAUCUUGAGCCAAGAAAAUGAGAAUCUCAUAAUGGGCAGUAAAAUGCCUGCCUCUUGCACUGGAUGGAGCUACUACUUGGUCUUCCAAGUCUGUUUAAUACACAAACAUCCUGGAAAAUGUAGUCAAGAACACAGUGCAGUUCCUGCCUCACUCAACAGAUGUAAAAAAUGCAAGAGACCCGUGGAGAAUUGUCUUCCAACAAGGUUCAAGCCAAAUGGCACCCCCCUUCCCCGGGGCGACCUCAGCCUGCUCCCAGUUCCUUCCUGGACACUCCGAAACCAUGGCUUCUCAACUCACCACCUCUGUCAGCUUUGCCUUGUCUGUGAGAGCCUUGGGACACCAACAGGCUAGAGCACAAGACCCAGGGUCCGGGAUUCAGAGGAGGGUCCUGACGCUUACCCAAGAAACAUCAUCUCCUCCCACUUGCCAUCCACACUGGUCCCAGCAACCAGGAUUGAAUCAGCGCCUGAGCUUUGCUCUAGCAGUGCAGGUGGACCAGACUACCUCUGAGACUCAUCGAUCAAAACACCACUUCACUGUCAAUUACGGUCCCAUGAAGCCCUCGAUAUCUGAAGCCUCUGACCCCUGUUGUCCACCUUCCCAAAGUGCCACGGGACCAUCAGCACAGUGACUCAUACCACGUUUAUGCCAAAGUAGCACUAAGUUAGCAAAUGAGGCAAAGUAGCAAACGAAGUAGAUUCCUAUGGUCAUUAUGGCCAUGUGUGAAAACCAAACGCCAGCUCUCCAGCAUCAGCCCUGAGACGUGGGGGAUAAAAGAAAAAAAA
Long non-coding RNA from Piliocolobus tephrosceles (Ugandan red Colobus), 1701 nucleotides. RefSeq lists it as uncharacterized. NCBI's taxonomy places the organism in Eukaryota, Metazoa, Chordata, Mammalia, Primates, Cercopithecidae. The transcript is spliced from 2 exons. The record is from RefSeq and is a predicted model, not a curated record.